AUUCAGCUGACGAGUCCCAAAUAGGACGAAGUGGUGCAUAUCCUGGAU
Schistosoma haematobium is the source of this 48-nucleotide non-coding RNA. The record is from Rfam. NCBI's taxonomy places the organism in Eukaryota, Metazoa, Platyhelminthes, Trematoda, Strigeidida, Schistosomatidae.